CAAUUAAAAGCCUUCAUUUGCUUACGUGUAUCUGAUGUGUCAAUUCUAAUUUAGUAUGUAUCAAUUUUCAUUUCCAAAAAAAACAGAGUAGCUAUUUUCCUUUGGUCCUUCGAAAUUCUUUCUCGAAAUAUUCAUCGAACACAAUAUUCACUCCCAAUCUUCACCAAAUCUUUCAUCUCAAUCAAACCGGCAAUCCAUCCCAAUUAAACCAUCAAUUUUUGGCGUCUAAAGGAGGUUGGCGACGGAGAACCUGUAUCCUAUCAAUCUCCCAAUCUUCGCCAAACCCUUCAUCCUAAUCAAACUGGCAAUUCAUCCCAAUCAAAUGGGCGAUUGCAUCUAAAGGAGGUGGGCGAUGGACAACCUGUAUCCAAUCGAUCUCCCAAUCUUCACCAAGCCCCUCAUCCCAAUCAAACUGGCGAUUCAUCCCAAUCAAAUGGGCAAUUUCCGGCGUUUGAAAGAGGUGGGUGAAGGACAACCUAUAUCAAAUCGAAUCUCCGGUGAGAUCUUGUUGUCAAUUUCUCUUGUAUUCUCUUCUUAUCUUCUAUUUCUAUUUGAGUACCUCCAAAUAAUUUUAGAUCUCAUAAGUGUUCAUAGACAGCUUGAUAACAAAAACUUUGGUGGCUAUCCAAUACCGUGCUCAUAUGGAAACAUAUCUAUUUUGUUGGUGUUGAGUACGAGGAUUUCCGAUUCCUGAUUGAAGGAAUAGUCCACAUAUUGCUUAUAUAGAUUUGAGUUUCAACCAGCUUAAUGGAACAAUUCCAAAUGGUAGUAUUUCUAAAAAUAUUACCACUAUUGAUCUUUCAGUAAAAAAUCUGGCUAGAACUAUUCCCACCAACUUUUAAGCCUCUCAGUUUACAAAAACUGUGAGCUACCAUUCAUGGAUUUGCUCUAUUUUAAUUACUUACCAGAUGCAGUGAACUAAAGAGACACAAUCCAAUCAAUUCUCUUUACAGGUAAGUAGCAAAUAAUUUAUUAAAUUACUCCAUUCCAUCAAGCAUAUGGCAAGACAUGAUAUUAAAUUCAUCCGAGUCACUUAUUGUGUAAACUCCAAAUAAAUUAUAACCAUCAAUAAGUUUGUGUAAUAAUACAUAUGAACUGAAUCUUGUUGCUUGUACCUUUGUGAAUAUUGCAGGGAUUUUGGGUACUUUUAUACCUUUGUAGGUUCAUUAAUUUAUACUUUUACAGGUCUAUUAAUUUGAAGGGAACUUUGUGUAUUUUUUACCUCAAUCACUUUUUUUUUUUUGUAAAAUGUUUCACUAAGAACAAUAAAAUUCUCAUUGAGUUCUUCUUUAAAGUUCACUUUAAUAGUUCAAGAACUAUUAUGUCAAAAUUUCCUAAUGACAGUUGGCAUACAAACAAUAGUCUCUUAUUAUCUUUUUUAGUGGUUUUUCUUUUUUCAAUAGUGCUCGAUGCUAUAGUAGCGAAUUUACUCAUGCAAUUCCUUUGAUUAAGAAUACUAGCUUUUCUAUAUGUGUUAUCUCAUCUUAAUUUUUGAACCUAUAGUUUUCCAUGAGACUUGCUUUACUAGCAUCGUUGCCUACUUCAUAUAGAGGCAGAGGUGGUUGUGUAAUGUUUAUUGAUGUUGAAUCCAAAUUUAGUUCAAGAAGGUACCUAUCUACUACAUAGUUACUAUAAACCAACACAAUGUCUAAGCCUACUUAUUAUAGUUGUUAAUUGUAUAACUUAUGCAGGUAACUUUUUAAGAGAUAAACGGUGUGAAUAGGCAUAGCUCAUUUGCUUAUAUUCAAUUCAUUGUUAUAUUUUCCCUAUUCCUUACAAUUAAAAGCAAAACAAAUAUAAUAUUUUUUUUUUUUUGUUUUUUGACAAGUUUGUACCUCUUGUUGAUGUACAAUUCACUGCAAGGCAACAACAUACCUGGACAAUUCUAUGUCUUUAUUGCAUGGAAUUGCAAGGCUGCAAGCAUAUGAAUACAUCAUUUAUUUAUAGCUUUUAAUAUAUAUAUAUAUAUAUCUAUCUUCCUUUGUAAAAUGGUUUUCAAGAUUGAGUAAAUUGUCAAUUCUUCCAAUUGGUUGUGUGAGAAUAUGCAUUAAUUUUCUUACAUAAAGUAGGUGGUAGAGUUGUCUCGGGGAAAAUAAUUUGACUUGUAAUAAUAGUGCAUCAAACCAUUAAUGUAUUGUACCAUUGUUCUAUUGGUUGGAAAAUUUUAGUUUGCAGAAGCAUGUCAAGUAUGUGUGCAGAUUUUUUUCUUUUGAUCCUUCUAUUACUACAAUGUGUAUUAAUUGCAAGUCUUGUACAUUUAUUUCCCUUAUAUCAAUCACUUGAAAUCCUUUCAUAUCUAUAAAUGCCCAUUGUAUUGAAGAUUGGUUGUUGGAUCCCAUAUUAUAAAAAACGUAUUGCUAUAACUUAAGGCUUACACACAUUUUUAUCUUCAAUUGAACAAGUGAAUUUACCUUAAAUUUGCUCCAUUCACCCCAACGUAUGGUUAGUGAUGAUGAUGGUGGUCAACAUGUCGACAAAACAUUAUACUUUCAGUCGAUGGUUCAAGAGAGUGAUUACAGGAGAAUACGGAGGAAGCUUUUACUACUACAGCUUGAACGUGAUCAACUCGAAAUAUUACAACACUCGUUGCCUUUUAUUUUUUAUGUUGCAACUAGAGGUGCACC
Andrographis paniculata is the source of this 2624-nucleotide long non-coding RNA. RefSeq lists it as uncharacterized. Lineage: Eukaryota; Viridiplantae; Streptophyta; Magnoliopsida; Lamiales; Acanthaceae. The transcript has 4 exons. The record is from RefSeq and is a predicted model, not a curated record.